CCUUUUUAAAUUUUGUUAUGUAAAACUAAACUUGAAUGUCAAUCUAAACUCCAUGAUUUAAUUUCUAAGUAACGUAAUUAUUGUGAUAUUCUGUGGCGUGUUGGUAUGACAGAGACAAUACGAGUGGGUAGGUGACAUAAUUCUCUUAAAAUACGGCUGCGUAAAAAAAAAAAAAACUUUAGUAAUAUUCUUCGACAAUCACUCGGAAUCCAAAAAGUGUCCGACGAAAAAAACCACUCGGAAAAUUAAUAUUAUAAUAGUAACAGGCGUGUUGUGACAGGGUAUACAGUUUUCGGUAGUCGAACAGUUUGCUGUAUUGAUUACUAUUCGCGACUGUAAUGUCACCUAAACGUUUCGUUUACUAUAUUAUGUUAUAUUAUUAUUUUUAUUGACGUAUAACCAGUAACUGAAAAGGUUUUUAAUAUUGUUGGCUGUGCGAUUCUAAAAGUGCAUUCAGUUGUCGAAAACGAUUGUGGUGAAUAAACGAAAAUACAUCGCCGCAAAAACGAUUUGUUCGCUAAACUACAUUAACUAUAAUAUUAUAGUAACCGCAUUAUCAGAGGUUAAAAGCUGCAUCGACAAAACAUCGUUGAUCAUUCGCUAUACGAGUGUAGGCAAGAAUGCGAAGUGUGUUAAACACUCGUGUGAAACGUUUGAAGAUUAAACUGAAAUAACUAAUAUGUUCUGAAGAGUGCAAAUAUUUUUAAUGUUCCUAUUCAUUAUUAUAAUAUACGUUUGAAAAUAAACAAUUCCAAUAUAUGUAUUACUUUCGGAUAAAGAAGUAACAUUUCAACAAUACUAGACGUGUCUUGGCGUUGUAACCGUUUAUUAGCGGUGUAUACUGAUGACAAGCGCACCCGCAGGAUAAAAUCCCACACAGGGAAAAACGGGGAAAACGUUUUAUUUCAGAAAUAUUUUAUGUUUUUAUGGUAAAAUGAUUUGCCAUUUUGCGUGAUAAAAGUAUAUACAGCAGAAAAUCCCAGGGGGGUAAUGAUUCAAUUUGCCCCCCCCCCCUGUGGACGCUUUUGAUUAAAUGACGUUUUUACGAGUUAAUGCAGUUAACUACAGGUUAUUUUUUUCUAGUAAACAGUUUAGCGAUUUUGCAACCGUCAAUUUCGAGUUGAUAAGAGAGUUUACUGAUGUUCGGUUACUAGUCGGUUCGAAAUAAACACGAGCGAUGAACGCAUGAAUAAUAAUAAUUUUUAAUUAAACCGAACGCACAUACGCGACGCGAAUAUAAUUGCCGUUUAUAGUGUUUAUAUUCUAACAUAUACUAACUGCAGGUUGUAAUGACAAU
Non-coding RNA from Cinara cedri, 1297 nucleotides. NCBI's taxonomy places the organism in Eukaryota, Metazoa, Arthropoda, Insecta, Hemiptera, Aphididae. The record is from the annotation of a GenBank genome assembly.